CACAACCAAGAAGGAAAUGAACAUCGAUAGCUCUCUAGACUUGUGUUCUGUAAUUAAAAAGUUGGCACCCUCAGAAAUGAAGAUUUAACAGAGGCGAGAGCGUCCCUUGGAGAUCUUCCCCUUCUGAUAUGGUGGUACAGGUGUGCCGAGACAGAGGUACCAGGCAUGGAACAACAUCUGGAAGUGGCCACUUCUGUGUACAGAAAACCCAAUUUGGCCUGUAAUUAUAGUCUCACCAUCAAGCCUACAUUGCAGUAACAAUUCAUUCUCCCAACUUCAAGAUUCCACAUAGUGCUGGACAUCCAUAGAGUCGAAGAAGAUCUGUUGAAUGUUUAUAGCUGCCAGUCUGCUCUGGCAGUCAGACCACCUUGGAUCAUUGCUUUCUCAUCCACGAAGUGGAGAAGGUCGAGUCGAUGAUGUUGAAGAUCUGUGGUCCUGGAGUUACCAAUCUAUAGUCCUUUGGCUUACAAGAAUAAGAAUAAAAACAAUUAAUGACAUC
RNAcentral lists this long non-coding RNA (499 nucleotides) under Phascolarctos cinereus (koala). RNAcentral describes it as "lncRNA (ENSPCIG00000018259.2)". The record is from RNAcentral. Lineage: Eukaryota; Metazoa; Chordata; Mammalia; Diprotodontia; Phascolarctidae.